This 874-nucleotide ribosomal RNA is filed under the name Curvularia hawaiiensis. RNAcentral's name for it is "SSU rRNA". It matches the Rfam family "Eukaryotic small subunit ribosomal RNA", at positions 230 to 1109 of the family's 1831-position model. Lineage: Eukaryota; Fungi; Ascomycota; Dothideomycetes; Pleosporales; Pleosporaceae. The record is from RNAcentral.
CCUUCGGGGCUCUUUGGUGAUUCAUGAUAACUUUACGGAUCGCAUAGCCUUGCGCUGGCGACGGUUCAUUCAAAUUUCUGCCCUAUCAACUUUCGAUGGUAAGGUAUUGGCUUACCAUGGUUUCAACGGGUAACGGGGAAUUAGGGUUCGAUUCCGGAGAGGGAGCCUGAGAAACGGCUACCACAUCCAAGGAAGGCAGCAGGCGCGCAAAUUACCCAAUCCCGACACGGGGAGGUAGUGACAAUAAAUACUGAUACAGGGCUCUUUUGGGUCUUGUAAUUGGAAUGAGUACAAUUUAAACCUCUUAACGAGGAACAAUUGGAGGGCAAGUCUGGUGCCAGCAGCCGCGGUAAUUCCAGCUCCAAUAGCGUAUAUUAAAGUUGUUGCAGUUAAAAAGCUCGUAGUUGAAACUUGGGCCUGGCUGGCGGGUCCGCCUCACCGCGUGCACUCGUCCGGCCGGGCCUUCCUUCUGAAGAACCUCAUGCCCUUCACUGGGCGUGUUGGGGAAUCAGGACUUUUACUUUGAAAAAAUUAGAGUGUUCAAAGCAGGCCUUUGCUCGAAUACGUUAGCAUGGAAUAAUAAAAUAGGGCGUGCGUUUCUAUUUUGUUGGUUUCUAGAGACGCCGCAAUGAUUAACAGGAACAGUCGGGGGCAUCAGUAUUCAGUUGUCAGAGGUGAAAUUCUUGGAUUUACUGAAGACUAACUACUGCGAAAGCAUUUGCCAAGGAUGUUUUCAUUAAUCAGUGAACGAAAGUUAGGGGAUCGAAGACGAUCAGAUACCGUCGUAGUCUUAACCGUAAACUAUGCCGACUAGGGAUCGGGCGAUGUUCUUUUUCUGACUCGCUCGGCACCUUACGAGAAAUCAAAGUUUUUG